UACGAAGGGGGCUAGCGUUGCUCGGAUUGACUGGGCGUAAAGGGCGCGUAGGCGGUUUGCAUAGUCAGACGUGAAAUUCCUGGGCUUAACCUGGGGGGCUGCGUUUGAUACAUGCAGGCUUGAGUUCGGAAGAGGGUCGUGGAAUUCCCAGUGUAGAGGUGAAAUUCGUAGAUAUUGGGAAGAACACCGGUGGCGAAGGCGGCGACCUGGUCCGAUACUGACGCUGAGGCGCGAAAGCGUGGGGAGCAAACAGG
Molecule: ribosomal RNA, 254 nt
Filed under: uncultured bacterium
Lineage: Bacteria
Description: partial 16S ribosomal RNA
Rfam family: Bacterial small subunit ribosomal RNA
Source: RNAcentral